UUGGGAAUAUUGGGCAAUGGGCGAAAGCCUGACCCAGCAACGCCGCGUGAGGGAAGAAGGUCUUCGGAUUGUAAACCUCUGUCCUUGGUGAAAAGGAGAAGAUGGUAGCCAAGGAGGAAGCUCCGGCUAACUACGUGCCAGCAGCCGCGGUAAUACGUAGGGAGCGAGCGUUGUCCGGAAUGAUUGGGCGUAAAGGGCGUGUAGGCGGCCUUGUAAGUCUGGAGUGAAAUUCCCGUUUUCAAGAUGGGAACUGCUUUGGAUACUGUAGGGCUUGAGUGCAGGAGAGGUCAUCGGAAUUCCCGGUGUAGCGGUGAAAUGCGUAGAGAUCGGGAGGAACACCAGUGGCGAAGGCGGGUGACUGGACUGCAACUGACGCUGAGGCGCGAAAGUGUGGGGAGCAAACAGGAUUAGAUACCCUGGUA
This 422-nucleotide ribosomal RNA is filed under the name uncultured bacterium. Its description in RNAcentral is "bacterial SSU rRNA". It matches the Rfam family "Bacterial small subunit ribosomal RNA", at positions 355 to 792 of the family's 1533-position model. The record is from RNAcentral.